GCGCGAAAACUUUACAAUGCUGGCAACAGCGAUAAGGGAACCUCGAGUGCCAGGUUACAAAUCUGGCUGUCGAGAUGCCUAAAAAGCAUUUCAUAGCAAGGGCCGGGCAAAACCGGUGCCAGCCGCCGCGGUAACACCGGCGGCUCGAGUGGUAACCGUUAUUAUUGGGUCUAAAGGGUCUGUAGCCGGCCGGAUAAGUCUCUUGAGAAAUCUGGCAGCUUAACUGUCAGGCUUUCAGGAGAUACUGUCUGGCUCGAGGCCGGGAGAGGUGAGAGGUACUUCAGGGGUAGGGGUGAAAUCUUGUAAUCCUUGAAGGACCACCAGUGGCGAAGGCGUCUCACCAGAACGGACCUGACGGCAAGGGACGAAAGCUAGGGGCACGAACCG
This 387-nucleotide ribosomal RNA is filed under the name uncultured bacterium. Its description in RNAcentral is "bacterial SSU rRNA". It matches the Rfam family "Archaeal small subunit ribosomal RNA", at positions 339 to 726 of the family's 1478-position model. The record is from RNAcentral.